GAUGAACGCUGGCGGCGUGCCUAAUACAUGCAAGUCGAGCGAACAGACGAGGAGCUUGCUCCUCUGACGUUAGCGGCGGACGGGUGAGUAACACGUGGAUAACCUACCUAUAAGACUGGGAUAACUUCGGGAAACCGGAGCUAAUACCGGAUAACAUGUUGAACCGCAUGGUUCAACAGUGAAAGACGGUCUUGCUGUCACUUAUAGAUGGAUCCGCGCCGCAUUAGCUAGUUGGUAAGGUAACGGCUUACCAAGGCAACGAUGCGUAGCCGACCUGAGAGGGUGAUCGGCCACGCUGGAACUGAGACACGGUCCAGACUCCUACGGGAGGCAGCAGUAGGGAAUCUUCCGCAAUGGGCGAAAGCCUGACGGAGCAACGCCGCGUGAGUGAAGAAGGUCUUCGGAUCGUAAAACUCUGUUAUUAGGGAAGAACAAAUGUGUAAGUAACUAUGCACGUCUUGACGGUACCUAAUCAGAAAGCCACGGCUAACUACGUG
RNAcentral lists this ribosomal RNA (497 nucleotides) under uncultured bacterium. RNAcentral's name for it is "partial 16S ribosomal RNA". It matches the Rfam family "Bacterial small subunit ribosomal RNA", at positions 28 to 507 of the family's 1533-position model. The record is from RNAcentral.